RNAcentral lists this ribosomal RNA (784 nucleotides) under uncultured bacterium. RNAcentral describes it as "bacterial SSU rRNA". It matches the Rfam family "Bacterial small subunit ribosomal RNA", at positions 65 to 859 of the family's 1533-position model. The record is from RNAcentral.
UUUGAAUUGAUUUCUUUCGAAAUGAAGUUGAAAUGAUUUUAGUGGCGAACGGAUGAGUAACACGUGAGAAACCUGCCUUUCACAGAGGGAUAGCCGUUGGAAACGACGAUUAAUACCUCAUGACAUCAAACUAUCGCAUGGUAGAUUGAUUAAAGAUUUUAUCGGUGAAAGAUGGUCUCGCGGCUGAUUAGCUAGUUGGUAAGGUAGAGGCUUACCAAGGCGACGAUCAGUAGCCGGCCUGAGAGGGUGAACGGCCACACUGGAACUGAGACACGGUCCAGACUCCUACGGGAGGCAGCAGUGGGGAAUUUUGCACAAUGGGGGAAACCCUGAUGCAGCGACGUCGCGUGAACGAUGAAGGCUUUCGGGUUGUAAAGUUCUGUCCUUGGUGAAGAUAAUGACAGUAGCCAAGAAGCAAGCCCCGGCUAAAUACGUGCCAGCAGCCGCGGUAAUACGUAUGGGGCGAGCGUUGUCCGGAAUUAUUGGGCGUAAAGGGUACGUAGGCGGUUAUGUGGGUCCGUAUUAAAAGGCAUUGGCUCAACCAAUGUUCGGUAUGGAAACUGCAUAACUUGAGUAGAUGAGGGGUAAGUGGAAUUCCUAGUGUAGCGGUGAAAUGCUUAGAUAUUAGGAGGAAUACCAGUGGCGAAGGCGACUUACUGGAAUCUAACUGACGCUGAGGUACGAAAGCGUGGGGAGCAAACAGGAUUAGAUACCCUGGUAGUCCACGCUGUAAACGAUGAGUGCUAGGUGUCGGGAGUCAAAUCUCGGCGCCGCCGCUAACGCA